This 254-nucleotide ribosomal RNA is filed under the name uncultured bacterium. Its description in RNAcentral is "partial 16S ribosomal RNA". It matches the Rfam family "Bacterial small subunit ribosomal RNA", at positions 524 to 776 of the family's 1533-position model. The record is from RNAcentral.
GACGAACCGUGCGAACGUUAUUCGGAAUCACUGGGCUUAAAGCGCGUGUAGGCGGGUCGGAACGUCGGUCGCUGAAAUCCCCCGGCUUAACCGGGGAACGGGCGCCGAAACGGCCGGCCUGGAGGGACGUAGGGGGAACUGGAACUUCCGGUGGAGCGGUGAAAUGCGUUGAGAUCGGAAAGAACGCCCGUGGCGAAAGCUGGUUCCUGGACGUCUGCUGACGCUGAGACGCGAAAGCCAGGGGAGCGAACGGG